Heterocephalus glaber (naked mole-rat) is the source of this 864-nucleotide long non-coding RNA. RefSeq lists it as uncharacterized. Lineage: Eukaryota; Metazoa; Chordata; Mammalia; Rodentia; Bathyergidae. The record is from RefSeq and is a predicted model, not a curated record.
AGCGAAACCACUGAGCUAAAUUCCCAGCGGCAUGAUAUUUUUAAAAAUAUGCCAUGAAGUAAACAGGCCUCCUAUGCCACACAUUCUCACUGUGAUGUACUGUGCCAGUACUGUGAUGUACUUGACCGAAAGCAACAGGGCCAAGCAACCAUGGACUGAAGCCUCUGAAACUAGUAUCGUCCUGCUGACAAUCCUUUCCUAGGACUGCCUGUUGCCACCAGGAAAAAGAUGCCACAGAAAGUUCCCACCGGACGAAACCAGCUGCCCAGAUUUUCUUCUCAGGAAGAUUUGGGAGAAAAUUUCCCAUGAAAAAAUUUGCUAUAUGAUUUUAAUAUUUUUGUUAUUUUCAUUUUAACAAUUAUUGCAGCCAAACUAGCCAGUGACAAAAUAACUGAAAAUGAUUGUGAAUGCAUAAAAUUUAUAUGAAAUGUGAAAGUCUUUGGCCCUACUUUUUGGAAGUUAAAUGUCCCAAUAAGAAGAACCAUAAUUUUAGCAUGGAACAAAAUGUAUGUUUUUGUGUUAAUUAUAUUGAAAACAUGCAUAUUUGAAUCGAUCCUCAGUUUAUCUUGUAUUUUCACACACAAAAGAAGUUAACUCAGAAUUUUUAAGAUUUCACCAAUGGAAUAAAUUUGAAUUCUCUGAACCUGAAAAGAUAGUUUCAAUAUAUAUGAAGAAUUAUAUUUACAUUAAUGUAUAUGUAACGUGGGAGCAAAAGACCACAAAACUUCCACCGUGAAAUAACAAAUGAGAAAACAUUUGUUGAAGUCAGUUUUCCAGUGUGGUUACAGUUAUGAGGUAGAAAUGGAAAGUGUCUUUCUGAAUCUCCUUGCUUUGUAUCCUUUCCCAUUAAAGGGCAAUGAAAAC